RNAcentral lists this ribosomal RNA (394 nucleotides) under uncultured bacterium. RNAcentral describes it as "partial 16S ribosomal RNA". It matches the Rfam family "Bacterial small subunit ribosomal RNA", at positions 355 to 735 of the family's 1533-position model. The record is from RNAcentral.
UGGGGAAUUUUGGACAAUGGGCGAAAGCCUGAUCCAGCAAUGCCGCGUGUGUGAAGAAGGCCUUCGGGUUGUAAAGCACUUUUGUCCGGAAAGAAAUCCUUGGCUCUAAUACAGUGCGGGGGAUGACGGUACCCGGAAGAAUAAGCACCGGCUAACUACGUGCCAGCAGCCGCGGUAAUACGUAGGGUGCAAGCGUUAAUCGGAAUUACUGGGCGUAAAGCGUGCGCAGGCGGUUUGCUAAGACCGAUGUGAAAUCCCCCGGGCUCAACCUGGGGAACUGCAUUGGUGACUGGCAGGCUAGAGUAUGGCAGAGGGGGGUAGGAAUUCCACGUGUAGCAGUGAAAUGCGUAGAGAUGUGGAGGAAUACCGAUGGCGAAGGCAGCCCCCCUGGGCC